GUUUUUAUUUCAACCGCCUCCAUCUUCAUGGAUUUUUCUGUCAGUGAGGUGUUUCUUUUAAUCGAUUUAUACAAUAUAUCAAGAUGUAUUUUUUGAAAUAUAUAUAGAACAACUGACAAGCCGAGAUUUCACGCAAAAAAAAAGCAGUCUAGCUACAGCUGUCAAACGAGAAUAUGGAGAAAAAUGAAAAAACCGGAACGGAACAAAAGUCUACACUCUACAUAUAUUUUUUCUGUUAUGUGGUGAGAUGGUUGUAUCGAGGGGAGUUUUGUUUGCUUUCUCAUGUGAAAUCAAAUUUUGCUUUGAUCGAACGACGCGACAGAUCAUGUCCAGUAUCAACUAAUUACCGUUUAUUGCUGUAAA
Episyrphus balteatus (marmalade hoverfly) is the source of this 363-nucleotide long non-coding RNA. RefSeq lists it as uncharacterized. The transcript is spliced from 2 exons. The record is from RefSeq and is a predicted model, not a curated record. Lineage: Eukaryota; Metazoa; Arthropoda; Insecta; Diptera; Syrphidae.